This 450-nucleotide ribosomal RNA is filed under the name uncultured bacterium. RNAcentral's name for it is "partial 16S ribosomal RNA". It matches the Rfam family "Bacterial small subunit ribosomal RNA", at positions 354 to 796 of the family's 1533-position model. The record is from RNAcentral.
GUGGGGAAUAUUGGACAAUGGGCGCAAGCCUGAUCCAGCCAUACCGCGUGGGUGAAGAAGGCCUUCGGGUUGUAAAGCCCUUUUGUUGGGAAAGAAAUCCUAUCGAUUAAUACUCGGUGGGGAUGACGGUACCCAAAGAAUAAGCACCGGCUAACUUCGUGCCAGCAGCCGCGGUAAUACGAAGGGUGCAAGCGUUACUCGGAAUUACUGGGCGUAAAGCGUGCGUAGGUGGUUGUUUAAGUCUGCUGUGAAAGCCCUGGGCUCAACCUGGGAAUUGCAGUGGAUACUGGGCAACUAGAGUGUGGUAGAGGGAUGCGGAAUUUCUGGUGUAGCAGUGAAAUGCGUAGAGAUCAGAAGGAACAUCCGUGGCGAAGGCGGCAUCCUGGGCCAACACUGACACUGAGGCACGAAAGCGUGGGGAGCAAACAGGAUUAGAAACCCGAGUAGUCC